RNAcentral lists this long non-coding RNA (567 nucleotides) under Mus spicilegus (steppe mouse). Its description in RNAcentral is "lncRNA (ENSMSIG00000003386.1)". The record is from RNAcentral. Lineage: Eukaryota; Metazoa; Chordata; Mammalia; Rodentia; Muridae.
AAAUUAUCUGUAGAUAUGCUAUUAUUACUGAUGGUGUUUCUAAUUCUCUUUAUCCAGAUCACACCAAUUUAAGGAAAAAGGCAUAGAGCAUCAGAUAAGAGCGAUGGUUGUGAUCAUGUGACCUUGAACACUUUUUGGGCAAAAUCAUCUUUCACAAGAAGAACUAAAGAAAGGAAGGAAGGAAGGAAGGAAGGAAGAAAGAAAGAAAGAAAGAAAGAAAGAAAGAAAGAAAGAAAGGAAGGAAGGAAGAAAGAAAGCAAGAGGGUUCUUUUCAGUGGAACUUCAGGAGCAAUAUCUUCUACCUCCAGACUCCCUUGUAGGUGCUUGAAGGAGUUGAGAAAGAUUUUCAGUGGAUAUACUUUCAGCCAUUAUCUGUGAGUUCAGCCCUGAGUCUUGAUCUAGGCUGUACAGAGCUUUGUAUCCUCAGGUUUGUAGUCCCCUUUCUUCAAUUUCCCUGGAGAGUGAGUGUCAAGUCUCUGGCUGCCUGAGGUACUUUCUGAUGGAUGGAGUUGUGUGUGUGUGGGGCAGGAGGCAGAGCAGCACUUGUGACAUAAACUUUCAACUUAC